UGAUUAUCCAGAUGGCAUGAAGCCUGAGGAAACUUCACCUGUAGAAAGUCGAGAAUACACCUCAUCAAAUGUGGAGAAUUCACCAGAGACAGAUGUUGACACCAUUAUGCAAGAAAAAGGAGCAGAGAGAAAGUUGUCUGAAAAUCAGGACGCUUUAUGUGAGAAGCUAGGGGAAGAGAUGAGGAGUGAAAUGGGAAUCCAAAGUAAAAGAACGGGGGUCACUUCUGAGCAUUUGCAGUCAGGUUAUACAUCUUUAGAUGAGCACAAAGCACAUGAUCAGAAGCAAAAUGGGGAGCCAGGUCGAGAAUUGCUGAAUGACGGUGGAAAAGAAAAUCUGCAGCAUGGGAAUGAAAAUGCUGUAACUGGGCUGCAGAGGCCAAAGGAAUUGCAAGACAAGUACAAGAAGGCCAAGAUGUGGGAGAACUUGCGUUAUCUUGAAAAUACAACAGCUAUGGAUUUAUCUCGAGUUCUGUUUGCUGAUGAUCAAAGAUCUGUCUGGAAUGGACCACAUUCACUGGUUAAGCGUGGGGGUUCCACCACUCGCAAGAGCUCCAUUCGUUCAGCUAUUUCCAUGCUGAUGAAGUAGGUUUUUUAUUGACUGAUGAAUAUGUGAAUCCAAAG
This 621-nucleotide unclassified non-coding RNA is filed under the name Hevea brasiliensis (rubber tree). Lineage: Eukaryota; Viridiplantae; Streptophyta; Magnoliopsida; Malpighiales; Euphorbiaceae. The record is from RNAcentral.